Anguilla anguilla (European eel) is the source of this 848-nucleotide long non-coding RNA. RefSeq lists it as uncharacterized. The transcript is spliced from 3 exons. NCBI's taxonomy places the organism in Eukaryota, Metazoa, Chordata, Actinopteri, Anguilliformes, Anguillidae. The record is from RefSeq and is a predicted model, not a curated record.
UUUGGUUGGGCGGGUUGUUUUCCGGUACACAUUAAAAUGUCAAUAUACCCAGUUGUCUAUAUUCAAAAACAAUGUUAAUAUUUCUCGGACGAAAUUGACAUUACGUGCUUUUCUAAAUGUAAAUUGAGAAAUAUAACUGGUUUGCUAAUUUAACCGAUAUGAAAACUGAAGUUGCGAGGGUAUUGACGUCGAGUAUGCACCAGAAUCAAAAAUAGCCGUCCUGUAUUUUGAUAGCCAGUCCGUUCGCUUCAAUCCAUUUGAACGUUCAUCUUGUUUCGAUUAGACUUAUCAUUUCAGGUGAAGCUAUCUGAAAAGAAUACAGUAAUGAGACGAGUAGUGUGGAUUUUAAGAGAUGUAUUUUUUUUAGGUCAGUGUGUUCUAUGCAUUAGUGUAAAUCUCAGAAGGCUUCGAUGUGGUGAGUGUUCCUGUUUGUAACGAGGGAAGCAGAUUUCAACGGCUGAUGAACCCCGCUGCGAGACAGAUUGGGAUUAAUUUUGUGUGGCAAAGAGGGGAGAACUCAGUGAAAGAAACACACCGUAACUCAAAAACAGAGAAGAAGAAGAAAAAAAAAAUCUCCCAGAGAGAAAGUGACACAUUACACAACAUUUACACCUUCCGUUGAAACCAACCCUAUUUAUCCAGCGGAGAAGGGCACAUAUAUUCUUAGGUUCAGUCGUGUGUUCAAAAUGUGUUAGCAUUGAGCCGCUUGUGGAAAUCGCAUUACUCUAUGACUCACCAAGUGGGAACCGGGCUGUGGGGAGCCAUUUCCUGUCACCCUGUGAUUCCCUUUGGCCUUUAGAGACAUUUUCUCACAAUAAAUGAAAGUAAUAAAAUGAAAGUGAAUGGUG